Molecule: long non-coding RNA, 156 nt
Organism: Pecten maximus
Lineage: Eukaryota; Metazoa; Mollusca; Bivalvia; Pectinida; Pectinidae
Exons: 3
Source: RefSeq, a predicted model, not a curated record
UGUACUCACCGAUUAGUCAACUAAUGAUGUUUUCGCUCGAAAUCACUGUCACAAUUCCAGGCCCAGGUCAACAGUCGGCGUCCUCACUGUUUUGUAGAGUGUUAAUUUGGCUAGUCUGUAUGUUGAUCUGCAGGCUGAUUUGGUAGUAAAUCUCAC